RNAcentral lists this ribosomal RNA (421 nucleotides) under uncultured bacterium. RNAcentral's name for it is "bacterial LSU rRNA". It matches the Rfam family "Bacterial large subunit ribosomal RNA", at positions 14 to 505 of the family's 2925-position model. The record is from RNAcentral.
AGGGCACACGGUGGAUGUCUUGGCAUCGAGAGGCGAUGAAGGACGCUGGAACCUGCGAUAAGCCCAGGGGAGUUGGUAACCGAGCUGUGAUCCUGGGAUUUCCGAAUGGGGCAACCCACCCGCAAGGGUACCUCACUCUGAAUGCAUAGGGGUGAGGAGCGAACGUAGGGGAAGUGAAACAUCUCAGUACCUACAGGAAAGGAAAGCAACAGCGACUCCGCAAGUAGCGGCGAGCGAACGCGGAUCAGCCGGUAGAUGAGCGAAGCGUUUGAAUGACGCGCCGAAGAAGGUGAAAGCCCUGUAGCCGGAAACCGGUGAGGCCACGAGUAAAUUCGGGCUCGGGAAACCCGGAUUGAACAUGGGGGGUCCGACCCUCCAAGCCUAAGUACUCCUCGAUGACCGAUAGCGAAUCAGUAAGGCG